AUUGAACGCUGGCGGCAGGCCUAACACAUGCAAGUCGAACGGUAACAGGAAACAGCUUGCUGUUUCGCUGACGAGUGGCGGACGGGUGAGUAAUGUCUGGGAAACUGCCUGAUGGAGGGGGAUAACUACUGGAAACGGUAGCUAAUACCGCAUAACGUCGCAAGACCAAAGAGGGGGACCCUCGGGCCUCUUGCCAUCGGAUGUGCCCAGAUGGGAUUAGCUUGUUGGUGGGGUAACGGCUCAUCAAGGCGACGAUCCCUAGCUGGUCUGAGAGGAUGACCAGCCACACUGGAACUGAGACACGGUCCAGACUCCUACGGGAGGCAGCAGUGGGGAAUAUUGCACAAUGGGCGCAAGCCUGAUGCAGCCAUGCCGCGUGUAUGAAGAAGGCCUUCGGGUUGUAAAGUACUUUCAGCGGGGAGGAAGGGAGUAAAGUUAAUACCUUUGCUCAUUGACGUUACCCGCAGAAGAAGCACCGGCUAACUCCGUG
This 490-nucleotide ribosomal RNA is filed under the name uncultured bacterium. RNAcentral's name for it is "partial 16S ribosomal RNA". It matches the Rfam family "Bacterial small subunit ribosomal RNA", at positions 30 to 507 of the family's 1533-position model. The record is from RNAcentral.